CCUACGGGAGGCAGCAGUGAGGAAUAUUGGGCAAUGGGGGCAACCCUGACCCAGCCAUGCCGCGUGAGUGAAGAAGGUCUUCGGAUUGUAAAGCUCUUUUAAGGGGGAAGAGCAGAAGACGGUACCCCUUGAAUAAGCCACGGCUAACUACGUGCCAGCAGCCGCGGUAAUACGUAGGUGGCAAGCGUUGUCCGGAUUUACUGGGUGUAAAGGGCGUGCAGCCGGAGAGACAAGUCAGAUGUGAAAUCCACGGGCUCAACCCGUGAACUGCAUUUGAAACUGUUUCCCUUGAGUGUCGGAGAGGUAAUCGGAAUUCCUUGUGUAGCGGUGAAAUGCGUAGAUAUAAGGAAGAACACCAGUGGCGAAGGCGGAUUACUGGACGAUAACUGACGGUGAGGCGCGAAAGCGUGGGGAGCAAACAGGAUUAGAUACCCUUGUAGUC
This 442-nucleotide ribosomal RNA is filed under the name uncultured bacterium. Its description in RNAcentral is "partial 16S ribosomal RNA". It matches the Rfam family "Bacterial small subunit ribosomal RNA", at positions 338 to 795 of the family's 1533-position model. The record is from RNAcentral.